Molecule: ribosomal RNA, 253 nt
Filed under: uncultured bacterium
Lineage: Bacteria
Description: partial 16S ribosomal RNA
Rfam family: Bacterial small subunit ribosomal RNA
Source: RNAcentral
UACGUAUGGGGCAAGCGUUAUCCGGAUUUACUGGGUGUAAAGGGAGCGUAGGCGGCCUGGCAAGCCUGAUGUGAAAUACCGGGGCCCAACCCCGGGGCUGCAUUGGGAACUGCCAGGCUGGAGUGCCGGAGAGGCAGGCGGAAUUCCUAGUGUAGCGGUGAAAUGCGUAGAUAUUAGGAGGAACACCAGUGGCGAAGGCAGCCUGCUGGACGGUGACUGACGCUGAGGCUCGAAAGCGUGGGGAGCAAACAGG